UAUCUGCCUAUGUGUCUUGACCAAAUUACGUGCCAGCAGUCGCGGUAAUACGUAGAAGACUAGUGUUAUUCAUGUUUAAUCGGUUUAAAGGGUACCUAGACGGUAAAUCAAGCCUAAAAAGAAAUAAUGGAAGGGACUAAUUUACUAGAGUUACUUAUGAGGGGGCUAUAAUGUACAGCUGGUGUAGAGAUGAAAUUCUGUCAUACCUCUUUUCAAUAGAAAAAAUAAAGGCACAGGUAUAGGCGAAAGCAUCUCCUUAUGUGAUAACUGACGUUGAGGGACGAAGGCUUUGUGUAGCGAACAGGAUUAGAUACCCCAGUAGUCUAAGCAGAAAAUGAUGAAUGUCA
RNAcentral lists this ribosomal RNA (347 nucleotides) under Allocetraria flavonigrescens. RNAcentral's name for it is "SSU rRNA". It matches the Rfam family "Bacterial small subunit ribosomal RNA", at positions 476 to 818 of the family's 1533-position model. The record is from RNAcentral. Lineage: Eukaryota; Fungi; Ascomycota; Lecanoromycetes; Lecanorales; Parmeliaceae.